Non-coding RNA from Macaca mulatta (Rhesus monkey), 1392 nucleotides. Lineage: Eukaryota; Metazoa; Chordata; Mammalia; Primates; Cercopithecidae. The record is from RefSeq and is a predicted model, not a curated record.
AGCCUGGCUGGACAAAUCUUCAUCACAUUUCAAGCUAGCCAUGAAGCACUAAGUAAUAUGGUGCUGCUUUUGUGCCACCAGGGCCAGGAAGCUCAACAAAUCCUGAUAUAUAUACACAUUUAGCUAAAUCCACAGCAUAAAUGCUCUUCGUUUCCUCCUAGAAGUGCAGAAUAUUGAUUCAACUGCUAUCCCUGGGCUGAAAGACAGAAUUGAGAUUUCAUCUAUUUGCCUUUGUAUAGAAAUCUUUUCUAUCCAAUGGAAUAUGGAGGAGUGACCUACAUGGGCAGGCACUGGUUGAGAAUGGUUCCCAUGCAUUAACCCCCAGGCACUUGCAGCCUGCCCUGCACAGAGGCCUAGGAGACACCAACUGCCAGAGAAUACCUCCACCUCCAACAGACACGGAAACCUGGUGGUAGAUACCAGAACCAUCUGCAGUGACCUCCACAGCCUCCACUGCAGUACUGAAAGCAACUGGAAACAAAAUUAAAUUCCAAACCAGUUUCAAAAGCUGAUCAAUAAAAUUUGCAAGAGUUUCAAAUAUGUAGCCAAAAUACCAUGAUUUGAAAUGAGGCAAAAAAUGAAAGUCCAAAUAUUAAUCAGGAUCAGUAUGAAUUACACCAUCAUAAUUUUUCCGGCAACAUGCCUCAGAAAGAAGGUGGCCUCAGAAGGUGAUGUGAUAAGGGCAUAUGCACAUCUGAGGUCCUCACACCACCCAGGAAGGAACUGGUAUGUUGAAAAGGAAUCCACACUAAAGAGAAAGUCAAAAAAGCUGCGUCUUACUAAAUGCAUAUGUAAGAAAGCCAGAAGCCUCCACUCUGCUCCCUUGGGAUCAGCUCUGACGUUUGGAUGUUUGAUGGUUGCCCAAAACGUCGAGGAGAAACACAGCAUCUCAUGGGUUGGGAAGACAUGAAGACCAAGGCAUUGUGGGGUGUUGCCUCAAACCAGAGGAUGUGAUGACAGCAAAGCAUCUCAAGGAGUAAUGAAAGAGUCCAGCAGCCAUGUCCGACCUACCAGGGGCGUUUAAUGGUCCUGGAGGGGACAUCUGAGAGGCUAAGCAGUAAUUCAGUCAACCUGGUGAAGCUAAAGGAGCAGACAGUGGCCAGUGGCAUUGGAAGCCACCAAGAGGAAUACACAUUUCUGCACUCUGUUGGGCCCCUGUGGAAGAACUCUGAACCCUUCUCCAGAACAAGGGCUCUUGGCAAAUUCCUGGUAUUUUUAGAAAAUCAGCCUGUAAAGACUUUGCCCCCGUGGCUACCAGAGCACUGUAGUGGUGAUCAUUUUAAAAGCCAUAGAGAAGUUUGCAUGGUAGUGCAAUAAGAUGACCUACAUGAUUCACCACUGCAAAAUUUUGAAAUGUGUCAUUGGGUUUUCAUUCCAAGCAGCAAUGGAAAA